UAAAAAGACAGCGCUAAUGGUUCACUUGAUAGAAAAUGAUCAUAGUUUCGAUCUAUCAAAAACCAAAAUACUUGAGCAUGAUAACAGAAUCCAAGCACUUCAGAUUCUGGAAAUGUGCCACAUUUUUUGCGACGGCUCAACAAUUAAUUUCAGGACCGACACAAAUAACUUGAAUGCAGCAUAUUCUGGUGUACUGCACUCGCUCUCACAUCAAACAUAGCCAUCACUCACUCGCUCACUGUUGGUGGUUUCGCAUCUGUCAAACCUUAUUCGUUUCUACUUCCAUCUGUUCCGUAUUGAGAUAAUGUAUACAACACACACUUUUGGCCUUUUGAAACAUUUCAUUACUCAGUCUGCUUGGGAUGUGCGCGGGGUUCUUCUGUUGUAGAUUUGCGUUCUGUGUUUCCUGUUUAAAUGUCCAAAAUAACUUGACUAAGAUAAUACUGUUACCGUUUUUUGCCCUGAAGAUGAAGGCGUAGACCUUCGAAACGUUGGUAUUAGACGAAAUAUAGAUAUUGUCGUAUGAAAACCGUGACCAAAAAGCC
Topomyia yanbarensis is the source of this 545-nucleotide long non-coding RNA. RefSeq lists it as uncharacterized. The record is from RefSeq and is a predicted model, not a curated record. NCBI's taxonomy places the organism in Eukaryota, Metazoa, Arthropoda, Insecta, Diptera, Culicidae. The transcript has 3 exons.